This is a non-coding RNA of Kogia breviceps (pygmy sperm whale), 2829 nucleotides long. Lineage: Eukaryota; Metazoa; Chordata; Mammalia; Artiodactyla; Physeteridae. The record is from RefSeq and is a predicted model, not a curated record.
UCAUCACUGUGAGGAAAGGAGUUAUAAUAUUCUCAGAGCGGAAAUAAUUUAAUGCUGGGAAUACAUAAAGUAAUUCACUGAUAAAUUCUAUUGAGAGAUACUCUUAAAAUAAAUGUCUUAACAAAACCACCAAAGCCACCUUAGGAGAAGCUUUUCAAAUAAUUUAUCAAGACCACAUGGUUAUCAUUUUAAGACGGGUUAAAAUAUGUGCCAAAAGAAAUGACUUUUAAUACUAGAACAGACCCUGCUGGAGCAGUGAGUGGUUCUGCUUAACUGUGGAAAGAAAAAUACAAAAGCUCUGUCAGGCGUAGUCUUUCUAAACUAAAAGGAUUUAGGAAGUGGUAACUAUAGAUGAUAAGCAAAAAAUACAUUUUUUCCAUGAAAAAGCUAAAGGUGUUUAUUCUGAACACAAAGGGUUUCUCUCUUUUGGGGCAAAGAACAGGUUUUUCUUUUCCUGUUAGUGAUUGUUUUUCUUUCUCUUAUAUGUUCUUAUUGUCUGAAUAAGACAGCUUGCAUUGAUUUAUGGCUGGGUUCAUAAGACGCAUGUAUAUACACAAUGCAGGGCGCUUGCCAUCCAGAGGGGAAUACACAGAAAAAGGUUCAGGAGACUGUGUGUCUCUCUAGCAUCUCUCCCCUGUAGUGUUGGAAUGGCACUGCGAAGAUGUGAGGAUGUGCUCCCGGCCCGCCUGGCAGGGCAUCACCUCAAAGAGCUCAGGCUCCCAAGGACAGAGCCAGCGCGAGGCGGAGGAACAGGGUCUGCUUCCGUUUUGUGGAUGCACAGAAGCCUUUGUUAAGAGAUGAGUAUCAUUUCAAAUAUUCCGAGAAUGUGGCUGCUAGGCUGUUUAGUUCCAUGUCCCAACAUUUUUUCCUAAAAAGGGGUGGAGGCGGUGUAUUGCUCCAGAGUUGUGUGUAAAGUGUUCUUUUAACACCGGGGGCUAUACUUCCUGCUUCUGGCUGUGCUGGGAGCCAGCACGGAAGGGAGAAAACCCCUAAUCCGUCCCCAUGACACAAGUUCCUGAGAGGCCCGGAUGCCGGGUAACACGCAGGGGUUCUACAGGGCUUUGGGGGAGUAUCCGAGAGGUUAAGUCGCUGCUCUAAAUGUCUUUUCUGAUUUCUGCCAUAUCCCGAAGGAGUUAUUCCACUUUGUGUAAAAGAGAGUAAUUAUUGAAUAUCAUCAGGACUGGAUACAAUUGCUGCUCCUUUCAAUUCAACUGUCCUCUUGGAGCGCCCCCUUCAGGCCGGGCGAGAUGUCAGUGGAAGGUGGGAACGGGAAAGAGACGCACAGAUAAGAAAGCCAAGGUUCAGAUAAUUCAGUAAUUUUUCCAAGGUCACACGUUAAGACAGAAAUCCAGGAUUCAGGUCCAGUGUGAAGAAAAUCAUCAUUGGGACUUUCAACUAUAUGGCUCUACCUAACUGUACUCAGCCUGGGCAGCGAAGAAAAAAGUCUUUAGCAUAUGUUUAGUGCCCUGAGAUCUUCAGCUCCAGGCAAUAGUGUGCUGGUAAAUAUGGGGGAAAACAUAUGCAUAAUAUACCUACAGAAGUUUAUUAUAAAUUUUACUGAUAUAAAGGAUGGGUAGCAUCCUUUACAAUUUAUAAAUAAUAAUAAAAAUUUCAAUACUCUUGACUAUAAGUUUCAUAUUGUCAAUUGAUUCUCACAGAAUGCUUCUGUUGAUUUUUGCAGAGCUUGUGCAUUUGAGGCCAACCUAAUAGUUGCAACUGACAAAUCACUGUAGUUCCAACAUGGCUGCUGGGUAUUAUUUUGUUUACACUAAUGAGUAAGACAAAUGAAAUAAUGAAGACAUAUAUUGGAACUUUACUUGUUUGGCAAUGAUGUGAGGGACUUCUUUGCUGAAGUGCAUAGUAGUUUUUGAAUACUGGAAGAAUAUUUCCUCAUUUUUCCCUCAACGUAAUGGCUACACACAUGACACAUUUUAAAGUUUAAUCUGCGUGACUAAAAAUUUCCCCAUCACUUUCUAAUGUCUAGACAAUCAAUAAAAUGAUAAAUCAAGUCUGGUUUUGUAGAUUUGCUGAUUUCUGUGGUGCAAACAUUCUCACCAUAGGCAAUUUCAAGUUACCAAAGUGACAUCUGAAUAUGGCAUUGGGAAGGGAUGUGCAUGGACACGCUGUUACAUAACAUCACCAUACACACAUAAACAGAUGUAAAUAACUGUAAAAGCACAGCUAAUGGUAAAAUGUAGUAAUAUAAUUAGGAAGGGAUGAGUUUUAGAUAAUUAUUACCUUAGUUUUUAAUGAAAUUUAUUUAAUCAUAAGUUUAUGUAAUCUGAUUUUUAAUAAUGGAUGUGUUUAACAACCAGCUGUCAAAAUUCUCCAAAAUGUAACAAUUGACCCUGGUAAGCUAGUAGAAGCUGGCUCCAGCAAACUGCUGCCCUACACAGGGAACUUCAUGGUUUUACAAGACUUGGUUCCUGAAUUUCAGCAGAAGUUGGCUUUUCAUAGAAAGUUAUCUUAAGUCACUCUCUACCUUCUUUAUAAGUACCAAGGAUAACUUUAGUUUUAAAACUUGGCUCAUGUAACUCUUGCUUUCUCAUGGGCAAACAAUAUUUGGGCGUUAGCCUUCAAUGAGCUUAUGAAAAACACUGAUGGUAUAAGUUAGCAUGAAUACUUAAAAGGAAGGAUAGCAAAUUGGAUUUGCUAAAUAGGAGCCUAAAUUCAAUGAAGUUCUCAAACAUAUAAGAGAAGAUGACUGAUUGGAAGCUUUAAGUCUGAAUGUCCUACGUGGAAAGAGGAAAUGAGAAUUCAUGGUUUGCAUUCUUAAACGUGGCUCCAAUUUAAAUUAUUGUUUCUCCUUUUACAUCCCUUUCAUUUCCA